CAGUAGUCUAUUACACUGGAUGAAAAAAUAUCAAACUCAAGGCUACAUAGGAACACUGACAUUAAUACCCUUAUGGAAUGGGUCACAACUUGUCUAUGAUUAUAAUCAGAAGCGAGCUGGGUUGGUGUAAGGCCAGUGCCAUCAUUAGGUCUUCCUUCUACCCAUCUUCCACCUACUUUAUAUGCCCGUCCAAGUCACCCCUACUUGCAGCUAACGAAGAGUACCAAUCUUGUAAUUAAAUCACUUCUUUUUUUCAGCAUCAACUUCAAAUGUUGGGUAAACAAGAGCACCUACCUUUACCAAUAAGGUUGCCAGACUCACUAUCUAGUGACAUCUCUAGUCAUCUGCUGUUAAGAUUGAAACUUAGCCUUGCCAUACUGUAAUACCCCAAAUCAUAAAUUAGUGGGUAAUUAUAAUUGAAAAAGGAAAAUAAAUAAAUAAAAGAUUGGAAAAAUGGGCUAAAACCCAUUUUAAAAUGGAAAGGGAAAAGUAAAAGAAAUAGGCCACGCUCCUUAGCCAAAUAUAAAAAUAAAGGUAUAGGUAUAUAGGGCCUUGCCCUUUUGCUGCAUAAGGCAGCAGGCUACCUUUAACGUGCAACGCACAGAAGCAGCGACCAAAUUUUUUCUUUUUUAAAAAUCAGCUAGUUUGAAUUGGCAAAAAAAAUCAAGGAAGAAGAAAAAGUGGGUUUGUUCGGUGAUUGUUAUCGAGUGUAAGGUUUUAUCCAAGAAAGCGAUGCGAAUCGUUCUAGGUGACAAGUUUGGUAUUUCGUCACAUGUACUAGAACGCAGGUGACGGUGAGAAUUUCGUUAGCUAGAAAUCUCAAGGUAGCAUAUUCCUGAGAAUGCAGGUAACGAUGAGGAUUUCAUUAGCUAGAGAUUUCGAGAUAAUAUAUUCCUGAGAUGGAUUUCAUUUUACUAUUUGGUGGUGUUGGUGACUUGUCGAUCGUUUGUGGUGGAUUGUGUUGGUUGUGGUGUUGUUGAAUUGAGACUGGAAAUUUUCUUGAUAUGCCCAAAAAUAGAGGAAACUCUACCCAAUUUUUUUUUGUAUAAUUCUGAUGAGGCUUGCUUUGGAGUCCUAGCCUCCUUAGCGUCGGUCAUGAUCCUUUUUGGGUCAUGCCACAUGCAUUCAUAGAUUGUUGUGGAAGCGUACUAUUAACCACUAUCUGAAUAAAGUUAUUUCAUUUCUUAAAGUUCAA
Capsicum annuum is the source of this 1195-nucleotide long non-coding RNA. RefSeq lists it as uncharacterized. The transcript is spliced from 5 exons. The record is from RefSeq and is a predicted model, not a curated record. Lineage: Eukaryota; Viridiplantae; Streptophyta; Magnoliopsida; Solanales; Solanaceae.